UACGGAGGGUGCAAGCGUUAUCCGGAUUCACUGGGUUUAAAGGGUGCGUAGGUGGGUCUGUAAGUCAGUGGUGAAAUCUCCGUGCUUAACAUGGAAACUGCCAUUGAUACUAUAGGUCUUGAAUUUUCUGGAGGUCAGCGGAAUAUGUCAUGUAGCGGUGAAAUGCUUAGAUAUGACAUAGAACACCAAUUGCGAAGGCAGCUGGCUACAGGGAUAUUGACACUGAGGCACGAAAGCGUGGGGAUCAAACAGG
Molecule: ribosomal RNA, 253 nt
Filed under: uncultured bacterium
Lineage: Bacteria
Description: partial 16S ribosomal RNA
Rfam family: Bacterial small subunit ribosomal RNA
Source: RNAcentral